AACACGUGGGUAACCUGCCCAUAAGACUGGGAUAACUCCGGGAAACCGGGGCUAAUACCGGAUAACAUUUUGAACUGCAUGGUUCGAAAUUGAAAGGCGGCUUCGGCUGUCACUUAUGGAUGGACCCGCGUCGCAUUAGCUAGUUGGUGAGGUAACGGCUCACCAAGGCAACGAUGCGUAGCCGACCUGAGAGGGUGAUCGGCCACACUGGGACUGAGACACGGCCCAGACUCCUACGGGAGGCAGCAGUAGGGAAUCUUCCGCAAUGGACGAAAGUCUGACGGAGCAACGCCGCGUGAGUGAUGAAGGCUUUCGGGUCGUAAAACUCUGUUGUUAGGGAAGAACAAGUGCUAGUUGAAUAAGCUGGCACCUUGACGGUACCUAACCAGAAAGCCACGGCUAACUACGUGCCAGCAGCCGCGGUAAUACGUAGGUGGCAAGCGUUAUCCGGAAUUAUUGGGCGUAAAGCGCGCGCAGGUGGUUUCUUAAGUCUGAUGUGAAAGCCCACGGCUCAACCGUGGAGGGUCAUUGGAAACUGGGAGACUUGAGUGCAGAA
RNAcentral lists this ribosomal RNA (556 nucleotides) under Bacillus sp. (in: firmicutes). Its description in RNAcentral is "bacterial SSU rRNA". It matches the Rfam family "Bacterial small subunit ribosomal RNA", at positions 112 to 653 of the family's 1533-position model. The record is from RNAcentral. Lineage: Bacteria; Bacillati; Bacillota; Bacilli; Caryophanales; Bacillaceae.